AGUGAACGCUGGCGGUAGGCCUAACACAUGCAAGUCGAACGGCAGCACAGUAAGAGCUUGCUCUUACGGGUGGCGAGUGGCGGACGGGUGAGGAAUACAUCGGAAUCUACUUUUUCGUGGGGGAUAACGUAGGGAAACUUACGCUAAUACCGCAUACGACCUACGGGUGAAAGCAGGGGAUCUUCGGACCUUGCGCGAUUCAAUGAGCCGAUGUCGGAUUAGCUAGUUGGCGGGGUAAAGGCCCACCAAGGCGACGAUCCGUAGCUGGUCUGAGAGGAUGAUCAGCCACACUGGAACUGAGACACGGUCCAGACUCCUACGGGAGGCAGCAGUGGGGAAUAUUGGACAAUGGGCGCAAGCCUGAUCCAGCCAUACCGCGUGGGUGAAGAAGGCCUUCGGGUUGUAAAGCCCUUUUGUUGGGGAGGAAAAGCAGCAGGUUAAUACCCCGCUGUUCUGACGGUACCCAAAGAAUAAGCACCGGCUAACUUCGUG
This 492-nucleotide ribosomal RNA is filed under the name uncultured bacterium. RNAcentral describes it as "partial 16S ribosomal RNA". It matches the Rfam family "Bacterial small subunit ribosomal RNA", at positions 29 to 507 of the family's 1533-position model. The record is from RNAcentral.